RNAcentral lists this ribosomal RNA (492 nucleotides) under uncultured bacterium. RNAcentral describes it as "SSU rRNA". It matches the Rfam family "Bacterial small subunit ribosomal RNA", at positions 26 to 518 of the family's 1533-position model. The record is from RNAcentral.
AGAUUGAACGCUGGCGGCAUGCCUAACACAUGCAAGUCGAACGGGAGUAGGGGCAACCCUACUUCAGUGGCGGACGGGUGAGUAAUGCGUAGGAAUCUUCCCUAAAGCGGGGGACAACCCGGGGAAACUCGGGCUAAUACCGCAUAAUCUCUAAGGAGCAAAGAAGGGGACCCUUUGGGGCCUUUCACUUUAGGAUGAGCCUACGUCGGAUUAGCUAGUUGGUGAGGUAAAGGCUUACCAAGGUUACGAUCCGUAGCUGGUCUGAGAGGACGGCCAGCCACACUGGGACUGAGACACGGCCCAGACUCCUACGGGAGGCAGCAGUGGGGAAUAUUGGACAAUGGGGGCAACCCUGAUCCAGCAAUGCCGCGUGUGUGAAGAAGGCCUUCGGGUUGUAAAGCACUUUUAGUGGGAAGAAAGGCUUAAGGUUAAUACCUUGAGUGUUGACGUUAUCCACAGAAAAGCACCGGCAAACUCUGUGCCAGCAGCCGC